GCUGGGCAUGAUGGCUCAUGUCUGUAAUCCUAAUACUUUGGGAGGCUGAGGCAGGAGGAUCCCUUGAACCCAGGAGUUUGAGAUCAGCCUGGGCAACACAGGGAGACCCUGUCUCUA
Molecule: non-coding RNA, 117 nt
Organism: Homo sapiens (human)
Lineage: Eukaryota; Metazoa; Chordata; Mammalia; Primates; Hominidae
Rfam family: Metazoan signal recognition particle RNA
About the family: The signal recognition particle (SRP) is a universally conserved ribonucleoprotein. It is involved in the co-translational targeting of proteins to membranes.
Source: Rfam